GGCAAUCCUCGCGUGGCUUCACGGUGGUGAAACAAAAGGAUAAAGAGGAUUCUUGAGGAGGGAAAUGGAAGGACAAGGGAGAGCAAUAAGGGUUGGUGCGAAGAUCAUUCGUUAUGAUCCAUCCGGUGCAUUUGACCUCCAAGCGGAACCAAAAAUCUACCCGGGUACGAGCGACCGUAUGCACGCACGCACACACUUAGGUGCAAAGAAACACACUCCUCUGUUAAGAAGGACUGAACGCAUCCCUCUUUACUAAGCAGAAGUUUCACUCAUCCGUCCUGCCUCGUUCUCCCAUCUGUCCAUGUCAUCCCUCACUAUUCCACUUCCACAUCACCCAUCAGUUAGUCACACACACACACACACACACUCACACACACCUCUCUCCACAUCAGCCAUCAGUUUGUCCGACAGACACAUAAAUGUACAUCUCACAUUCACGCACAGACCGACUCCUUUACAUCACACGUCAGAUCACCCCGGAUUCACACACACUCACUCACACACACACACACACACACGAUGCAUCACACAUCAGUUAUAUCUUUUAUGCUGAAGGAGAGAGGGGGUGUCGGCAGGGGUGAGGGGGGAGUUGACAGGGGGAGAAGAGGAAGUACACAGGAAAUACAUUAGUUAUCACUCCCAUGUCUUCUCCACCUUUUCACUUCUUAUCUCCACCCGAUGUCUCAGACCCCAGCCAAGCUGCCUCUCCUUCUCGUCUCCACCUCUUUCCUUUUCUCUUUCUGUUUUUCUCUUCCUCUCUCACACACACACACACGCCUCUAAAAAUGACUUCCAUGCUCCACUUUAGUGUCGGGCCCUGGGAUCUAGAUGACACUUGGCAAGCCGCAGAAGCCGCGAGACAACUGGAUGAAAUAUUUAAAUGAAAGACGGCAGGGGUAGGAAGAGGUGAAGAAAGGAAGCGGAGAAAGAGGGAGAGAAAAAAGAACACGGGACAAAGGACGGAGGGAAGGAGAGAGUGACGAUAUUCAGGCGGCGAGCAGAAUGUGAAAGGAUUUUCUUUUCUUGGCAAAGAGAAGGGGCCCGUGUGACAGGAAGCGCAGAUGAAUUGGCUUUCACCUAUAAAGUAGCCUGUAGAGAAAUAAACCAAUAUAGUAUGAGAUCACAUCGCUUUGUCUUGGAAUCAUCUGCAAGUCUCAGUAUGUGUCAAAGUGCUUUCAGUGCCGUGCCAGCUCAGCUGCUCAGAGGAGGGCAAUGAAUCUAAGACACGACCGAAUGAAAUGUAACUUUGUUACGGCCAUUUUCCGACCUUAGAAUUAAAAGCUUCUGCCUGACUUUUAGGACUUUUAUCUGACUAAAUACUAACGCCAGCAUGGCCACAGUGGCCUUAAUGACAGCAUGCUGAUGUUUAGCAGGGUUACUAUAAUCACAAUAUUAGUUUAACGUGCUAGCACACUAACACUUUAUAUCGCAGAGCAGAAAAUGCAGCAGAGGCUGCUGGGAAUAACGUGAGUUUUGCAGGUAUUUGGUCGUAAAGGAAAUUGAAAAUCUGACCUGCAUCAUGGUGCUAAACUUAUUACAAUUCAUCCUGAGGGGAACAUGAAUGUCUAUACCAAAUGUUACGGCAAUCCGUCCAAUAUUUCGCCCAGAACCACAAAUGUCAGGCUCAUAACGGAACCACAAGAACAGCCAUGGACCGGGAACCACGAACAUCUGCAGGAAAUUCAUACAGUACAUGAAGAUAUAUUUUACUGGAUGAGUCACAAAUUUGGAUUUGCUGGUGACACUAGAUGAAAAGUAAACGAAUCACCAGUCAAUAUAAUUAAUUAUGUGAUAUAUGGAUAUUAAUAUCCCGUGCAGAAACCAUAGACAUUUCUCUAAGUUUGACUUUUUUUGUUUUUGUAACACUAGUUUUACAAAGCAAAUAAAUAUUAUUAUCAAUAAUAGUAAGUAAUUAAUAUUAGUAGUAGUAUAUGGCCAAAUCAAAGAGAUCCAUCCACUAGUUCUGUAGUCUAAAAAGAGACAUUUCAAAGUCACUGUAAGGUUCUAUAAGAAUACAACUGCAAAGCCAAUCAGUGCUCAGCUUGAACCCUUGAAAAUUAAUAACCUUUGUCUCAUUGCUCUGUGAUCGAGAUUAAAGAAGCUUCAAAGAUCAUAAAAUGGUGCAAAAUCAGAUGGUUUGAAAACUGACAGAUAAAUUGAUGUUUGCAUUGAAGACAUUAUGAAUGACACUGAUGCAAACUGCUGCUAAUUUGUGUUAUUUUUAUUCCAGCUUGUAAACCGUAGCCAGUCACACAGCGCACGCUAAUGUCUGUUUGUAUUCGUAACCCGACGUUCAAACUUUCAGGAAUCCGAGUGAAUGAAUGCACGCUUUAAUCGCGGAACAUUAGUAAUCUGAUGCGAACUCUACACUGCUCCUAACAGAGUUUGUGUCUGCUGAUGACUCACCUACUGCCGCAGACACACAAUGAUAACAGCGACUACAUUCAGAGCUCUGAGGACCCGAGCUUGUCGGGGAAACAAAAACAGUAGAUGCAGAAAACAGACCAAAAACACAGUGACAAAGACAACCCCUCAACAGGGAUUAGUAGAAUUUGUUGCAUUUGCAUAGGUUUUAAAUACGCUGUUGUUAACUUAUUUAAAAUGUGUAUCAGGGUAUGUGUGUUAAUAUUUAAUACAUUGAUUAUGUGUAUUAAAAGAAAAUAAGAGCACAGUCUGUUUAUUUUUCCAAAUCAGUGCUCGCAUUUCUGCCUCAGCAGAGUUGUAAAAUUCUAAACAGAACAUGUCCUCAGUUUUAAGAGGUUCUAUCUACAAAAUAAAAAAAUACGAUGAAAUUUUGAUGUUAUAUAUUUAGUGCCUAUUAUUUUGAGAACUUUAAUAUCUCAAACCAGGACUGUAGACAGAUCUUGGCUGGGGCAGUCCAUUGCCUAAAGUGCAGACAUCCAUAUCACAUACAAGAUAGAGCAAGGUGUAUGAGUACUGUUCAUUCAGUUGCUCUCUUUAAUUAUUUUCUCAGCUGCAUGCUGGUUGUGCAAAUGCUUAUUUUAAGGUGCAUGCAUGUGUGUGUUUUGCCUGCACACGUUUGUGUGUGUGUGUGUGUGUGUGUGUGCAUAUCCUGUAUAUAAAUAAUUGUACUGUAUUGUACAUUCGUAAACAUGUGCAUGGGUUUGUGUUUGCACUAUAAUUUAUGCUUCUCUGUGCUGCAUCUCUGUGUGGUUCCCAUCACUGUGAGGUCCUGCUUGCAAAGGACUGUGCUUACCGUGCAGGGCUGGACAUUAGGCCUGUCUGUCAGAAAAAAAAAAACGGCCAGUUUAUUAGUUUGUACAGGCAACGAAGUUAAAUGUGCAGCAACAUAAGUGACUAAUAUUUUACUGUGUCCUGAAGUGUUUGAAUAACUGGGUAAAAAAAAGUCAAUAAAAAUGAAGAUUUG
Larimichthys crocea (large yellow croaker) is the source of this 3388-nucleotide long non-coding RNA. RefSeq lists it as uncharacterized. NCBI's taxonomy places the organism in Eukaryota, Metazoa, Chordata, Actinopteri, Sciaenidae. The transcript is spliced from 2 exons. The record is from RefSeq and is a predicted model, not a curated record.